Molecule: ribosomal RNA, 334 nt
Filed under: Ligia italica
Lineage: Eukaryota; Metazoa; Arthropoda; Malacostraca; Isopoda; Ligiidae
Description: partial 16S ribosomal RNA
Rfam family: Archaeal large subunit ribosomal RNA
Source: RNAcentral
CGCUUGAACUAAUUCUUUCAAGUAGGAUCUGCCCAAUGAUUAAAUGGCCGCAGUACCCUGACUGUGCUAAGGUAGCAUAAUAAUUUGUUUCAUAAUUGGAGACCAGAAUGAACGAUCUGACGUGGUAAUUAUGUCAUAAAUAGUUUAGAGGGACGACAAGACCCUAAAAGCUUAAUUAAUUUUUACUGGGGCGGUAAAUACUAGAUUUUUAAAAACACUAUAAGUGAAAGUUACUUUAGGGAUAACAGCAUAAUAAACUAAUAGAGCUCUUAUCGACUAGUUUGCUUAUGACCUCGAUGUUGAAUUGAGUAAGUCUGUUCGACUUUUAAAAUUU